AUUGAACGCUGGCGGCAGGCUUAACACAUGCAAGUCGAGCGGGGGAAGGUAGCUUGCUACCGGACCUAGCGGCGGACGGGUGAGUAAUGCUUAGGAAUCUGCCUAUUAGUGGGGGACAACAUCUCAAAAGGGAUGCUAAUACCGCAUACGUCCUACGGGAGAAAGCAGGGGAUCUUCGGACCUUGCGCUAAUAGAUGAGCCUAAGUCGGAUUAGCUAGUUGGUGGGGUAAAGGCCUACCAAGGCGACGAUCUGUAGCGGGUCUGAGAGGAUGAUCCGCCACACUGGGACUGAGACACGGCCCAGACUCCUACGGGAGGCAGCAGUGGGGAAUAUUGGACAAUGGGGGGAACCCUGAUCCAGCCAUGCCACGUGUGUGAAGAAGGCCUUAUGGUUGUAAAGCACUUUAAGCGAGGAGGAGGCUACUUUAGUUAACACCUAGAGAUAGUGGACGUUACUCGCAGAAUAAGCACCGGCUAACUCUGUGCCAGCAGCCGCCGCGG
This 501-nucleotide ribosomal RNA is filed under the name uncultured bacterium. Its description in RNAcentral is "partial 16S ribosomal RNA". It matches the Rfam family "Bacterial small subunit ribosomal RNA", at positions 30 to 523 of the family's 1533-position model. The record is from RNAcentral.